UACAGAGGUCUCAAGCGUUGUUCGGAUUCAUUGGGCGUAAAGGGUGCGUAGGCGGUGUCGUAAGUCGGAUGUGAAAUCCCGGGGCUUAACUUCGGAACUGCAUUCGAUACCGCGAUGCUUGAGGACUCGAGAGGAGAUUGGAAUUCACGGUGUAGCAGUGAAAUGCGUAGAUAUCGUGAGGAAGACCAGUGGCGAAGGCGGAUCUCUGGAGAGUUCCUGACGCUGAGGCACGAAGGCCAGGGGAGCAAACGGG
RNAcentral lists this ribosomal RNA (253 nucleotides) under uncultured bacterium. RNAcentral's name for it is "partial 16S ribosomal RNA". It matches the Rfam family "Bacterial small subunit ribosomal RNA", at positions 524 to 776 of the family's 1533-position model. The record is from RNAcentral.